Molecule: long non-coding RNA, 359 nt
Filed under: Androctonus crassicauda
Lineage: Eukaryota; Metazoa; Arthropoda; Arachnida; Scorpiones; Buthidae
Source: RNAcentral
GUUUUCAAAGUAAAAAUAGUUCUCUAUGACCAAGUACUUAAAUAUAAUUUAAUACUCAUCUAAAGCCUUUGCAGCUUCAGAAGUGGAGAAAGUUUUAGCCGCGUAUCUUUAUAUCUCCUGGUUUCUCACUGAAUUGGCUUGAGUUGCCUAUGCUGGCAGAAGGUUGACAUUGGGCGACCAAUUGCUUUGGGCUCAUCAGUGCGUUGAAUUAGUUGUUGAAUGGCGAGAGAUUUGCUGGGGCAGCCCUGUGAAUGUGUUCUAUGACUGAGCAACCUCCUUAGCCUUCAAAAUAGAAUUUUUGAUGUUGGAAAUUCCAUACUAAAAGGAAGCCUUAAGUAAGAAUAGCUUGUUAAUUAUGU